This 496-nucleotide ribosomal RNA is filed under the name uncultured bacterium. Its description in RNAcentral is "partial 16S ribosomal RNA". It matches the Rfam family "Bacterial small subunit ribosomal RNA", at positions 29 to 507 of the family's 1533-position model. The record is from RNAcentral.
AUGCACGCUGGCGGCGUGCCUAAUACCUGCCAGUCGAGCGCACAGACGAGGAGCUUGCUCCUCUGACGUUAGCGGCGGACGGGUGAGUAACACGUGGAUAACCUACCUAUAAGACUGGGAUAACUUCGGGAAACCGGAGCUAAUACCGGAUAAUAUAUUGAACCGCAUGGUUCAAUAGUGAAAGACGGUUUUGCUGUCACUUAUAGAUGGAUCCGCGCCGCAUUAGCUAGUUGGUAAGGUAACGGCUUACCAAGGCAACGAUGCGUAGCCGACCUGAGAGGGUGAUCGGCCACACUGGAACUGAGACACGGUCCAGACUCCUACGGGAGGCAACAGUAGGGAAUCUUCCGCAAUGGGCGAAAGCCUGACGGAGCAACGCCGCGUGAGUGAUGAAGGUCUUCGGAUCGUAAAACUCUGUUAUUAGGGAAGAACAAAUGUGUAAGUAACUAUGCACGUCUUGACGGUACCUAAUCAGAAAGCCACGGCUAACUACGUG